CCUACGGGAGGCAGCAGUGGGGAAUAUUGGGCAAUGGAGGAAACUCUGACCCAGCAACGCCGCGUGAAUGAUGAAGGUCUUCGGAUUGUAAAGUUCUUUUCUAAGGGAAGAAGAAAGUGACGGUACCUUAGGAAUAAGCCUCGGCUAACUACGUGCCAGCAGCCGCGGUAAUACGUAGGAGGCAAGCGUUAUCCGGAAUGACUGGGCGUAAAGGGUGCGUAGGUGGUUCAGCAAGUUAGUAGCGUAACUCCGGAGCUCAACUUCGGCACUACUACUAAAACUGUUGGACUUGAGUGCAGGAGGGGCAACUGGAAUUCCUAGUGUAGCGGUGGAAUGCGUAGAUAUUAGGAAGAACACCGGUGGCGAAGGCGAGUUGCUGGACUGUAACUGACACUGAGGCACGAAAGCGUGGGGAGCAAACAGGAUUAGAUACCCUAGUA
Molecule: ribosomal RNA, 440 nt
Filed under: uncultured bacterium
Lineage: Bacteria
Description: bacterial SSU rRNA
Rfam family: Bacterial small subunit ribosomal RNA
Source: RNAcentral